GGCAUGUCAUGGGUGCUCUUCUGGAUCAAAAUGUGACUGCAGUGGUAUAAAAGGAGAAAAGAUUGGUCACAUUUGCCACAUAUACUGUACCUUGAAUGGUUUUGUGAAGAGCUGUGCCAAAUAUCAACUUUGAGGACUUGCCCGAGACGUGUGAUGACAACUACCUGGGAUGACACUACCUUACUUACCUGCUUCGUCUCCUGAUGUCCCACAUUACUUAGCUAUGGCAAACAAAUCUGGGAACCUCUGUCCAUGGAGUUUUAUGGGCUAGCUGCAUUUAAAAGGAACAUGGGGUUCCAGAAGGCUGAAGCUGUGUGCAGUUUUAAGGUCAGAUCAUGAAGGCAAUUCAGAGCAAAAGUCUCCUCAUUCUUCAGAAUCAAGACAGAAAGAAAAUCUCCUCAUCACCUAAGCUCCCCGCCUCAUACUGACAGGCAAUCCAAGGAGCUUUGGAUUUCAAAUCAGAGCACUUGUCUUUGCUAAGAUGGCAAAUUCUUUCUACACAGAACUCUACCCAGAAGUUUGCAGCCCAGGACUUGAAACCUGAAAUGUGAGCUAGCUGGAUUGUGGAGAAAGAAGAGGAAUGCAGCAACCUGAUGAUGUUUCUUUCAUGGGGAGUAACCCAAUCUGCUCUCUGUACAGGUCCUUGGUUGAUAUACCUUGGCCUUUAUACUGUAGAGCCCUCAAAAUGAGCUUAUAUGGGGUUCACAUUCUCCAUUUCUUUGAAGUUUUGGGAUCCCACAAAGGUAAAAAUCCAUACACUGCUGCUUAUUUUUCAGUGUGUUAACUCCUUAACUCUUUUUGAGUAAAAGCUGUGUCUUUUAUAAAUGGUUAUAACUGUCCAGACAGUUGCACUGAGUUAGAUAGAUGAUAGACACAUGGGGUCAGCAUAAACAUGCUGACUUCUACUCAGCAAUGCCUCCAACCCCCAAGAUUGUCUUCCCCCUGUGAGGACACAGUCACCAUGGGCUGGAAAGUGUUCUUCAUUUAAAAAGCCAAACUGAUUUCACUCGUACAAUAUACAAUAUACAAUACACGAUAUACAAUAUACAUUAUAUAAUAUACAAGAGCAAAGAUGAAAAUCAUUUCAGUACAUACUCCCAGUGGGAAGUGGGCAGAAGUAUACUACAGGUACUGCAAUCACUAAUGGGAGUGGACUGCAAAGUAACGUGAAUUAAUUCAAACAUGGGAGGUGUGCCUUCUUAUAAAAGAAAUCCAUUACAGCAAUGCAACCACAGAUGUCUGGGGACACAAUUGUUUUGUUCUGGUUGUCUCCUGGCAGAAUGCCAAACAACAACGUAAUAAGCUUAUUCCUCUUGGUGUUUUUAUUGUUUAAAUAUUGGAUUAACUGCUCUAUCUCCACUAUUAAUUGCCAUGUAGUAAUUUUGUACAGGGGCUGAAUAAAACUUCAUAGAUGGCUGAAUAAAAUUCCAGUGUGUGCAUGUGUGUAUGUGCACAUAUGUAUAUGUGUGUGUGCAUGUGUAUAUGUGCAUAUAUGUAUAUGUGUGUGUGUGUGCAUGUGUAUGUGUGCAUCACAUU
Molecule: non-coding RNA, 1536 nt
Organism: Rattus norvegicus (Norway rat)
Lineage: Eukaryota; Metazoa; Chordata; Mammalia; Rodentia; Muridae
Source: RefSeq, a predicted model, not a curated record